RNAcentral lists this small RNA (73 nucleotides) under unclassified sequences. RNAcentral's name for it is "Streptococcus sRNA SpF59 (ldcC RNA)". It matches the Rfam family "Streptococcus sRNA SpF59 (ldcC RNA)". The record is from Rfam by way of RNAcentral.
UGACCAUUUUGUAUAUUUAGGAAGAUUCCUGUACAAAAUAUAUAGCCAUGCGGACAGCUGGGUCAAAUGCCGA